Molecule: non-coding RNA, 795 nt
Organism: Cyanistes caeruleus (blue tit)
Lineage: Eukaryota; Metazoa; Chordata; Aves; Passeriformes; Paridae
Source: RefSeq, a predicted model, not a curated record
ACACUCAUCCAUGGCCAUGCUUUGGCCUCUGCUCCUUCCCCAAGGCACGUGCUGGUUCUCCUGAGACCUUUAAAAGGAAGAUCUGGGCAUGACCUGGGAAAGCCUGAAAGAUUUCUGAUGGACCACAUCAAGGUGUAAGGGCUGCUGAGGCUCAGUUCUGGAGUGAUAACUUUGAAGUGCUGUGAGGAUCCACUGGAUUUUGGCACCAAUCCUGGGGAUGUGUUGGCAUCUUCACUCUACCCUCCUUCCCCAGGGUGAUAUUUGUCAGGGACCUCUCCAUGGUUUCAAACCAGGUCCAGAACUGGACACACCAUCCUGCACACCACAUUUAGAGGCUGGAACUGAUGCAAAGAAAGAGCAGAGAUACUGGAGCACAGCCUACGGGUUGGGAGAGAAAGGAGGAAAUAGCUGCAGCUUGGCGUCUCCUCUCUGACCAGCAGCCAGCUCCCUACCUUGGGAUGGAUCCAACAGGAGCACGGGAGCUCACAUCCAAGAAACCCCAGUGCUCUGCCAAGGCCACACAGGUAGCAAAGAGCCUGAUAGAAAGUCAAGUGAAACAUCUGGGAGCCUUUUUCUUUUAAUUUUUUCUGCUGCCUCCACUGUGUUUCAGGGCAGGAACUCUCUGAUCCUCUGCACAGAGGAUUUGCCAGAGCUCCAAAUGCUCCAAUCUCCAAGGAAGAACCCUUGGUGUGCACAAACUCACACCCAUGUCCAUCUAGGAAAUCUGGAUCAGAGGACAGCAACAAUAAUCCAAACCAAAAUGUCAGUUGAUUUAUUAGAAUCACAGAAUGGGUU